CUCGUAGGCGGUUCGUCGCGUCCGGUGUGAAAGUCCAUCGCUUAACGGUGGAUCCGCGCCGGGUACGGGCGGGCUUGAGUGCGGUAGGGGAGACUGGAAUUCCCGGUGUAACGGUGGAAUGUGUAGAUAUCGGGAAGAACACCAAUGGCGAAGGCAGGUCUCUGGGCCGUUACUGACGCUGAGGAGCGAGAGCGUGGGGAGCGAACA
This 207-nucleotide ribosomal RNA is filed under the name uncultured bacterium. RNAcentral describes it as "partial 16S ribosomal RNA". It matches the Rfam family "Bacterial small subunit ribosomal RNA", at positions 568 to 774 of the family's 1533-position model. The record is from RNAcentral.